Molecule: ribosomal RNA, 265 nt
Filed under: uncultured archaeon
Lineage: Archaea
Description: partial 16S ribosomal RNA
Rfam family: Archaeal small subunit ribosomal RNA
Source: RNAcentral
AGUCACUGACAUUAGAUACCCCGGUAGUCCUAGCCGUAAACGAUACUCGCUAGGUGUCGGCCACGGUGCGACCGUUGUCGGUGCCGUAGGGAAGCCGUGAAGCGAGCCACCUGGGAAGUACGGCCGCAAGGCUGAAACUUAAAGGAAUUGGCGGGGGAGCACCACAACGGGUGGAGCUUGCGGUUUAAUUGGAUUCAACGCCGGAAAUCUUACCGGGACCGACAGCAACAUGAAGGCCAGGCUGAAGACUUUGCCGGAUUAGCUG